This 395-nucleotide ribosomal RNA is filed under the name uncultured bacterium. RNAcentral's name for it is "bacterial SSU rRNA". It matches the Rfam family "Bacterial small subunit ribosomal RNA", at positions 28 to 423 of the family's 1533-position model. The record is from RNAcentral.
GACGAACGCUGGCGGCGCGCUUAACACAUGCAAGUCGAACGUGAAGCUGGAGCUUGCUCCGGUGGAAAGUGGCGAACGGGUGCGUAACACGUGAGCAACCUGCCCCGAAGACUGGGAUAACACCGGGGAAACCGGUGCUAAUACCGGAUACCUUCCUUCAAUCGCAUGGUUGGAUGAAGAAAUGGAUUCCGCUUCGGGAUGGGCUCGCGGCCUAUCAGCUUGUUGGUGAGGUAACGGCCCACCAAGGCGACGACGGGUAGCUGGUCUGAGAGGACGACCAGCCACACGGGGACUGAGACACGGCCCCGACUCCUACGGGAGGCAGCAGUGGGGAAUUUUCCGCAAUGGCGAAAGCCUGACGGAGUGACGCCGCGUGGGGACGAAGGCCUUCGGUU